RNAcentral lists this long non-coding RNA (661 nucleotides) under Vitis vinifera (wine grape). RNAcentral's name for it is "long non-coding RNA (VVIN_LNC004201)". Lineage: Eukaryota; Viridiplantae; Streptophyta; Magnoliopsida; Vitales; Vitaceae. The record is from RNAcentral.
AAAAGGGCUUUGGGCUCCAUCUGCCUCAAGCCCAAGUCCAUAACCCAUCAAGACUAAAUGCUUUGGGCUCCAUCUCCAUCAAGCCCAAACCCACUUGGCAAAAAUCACCCCCCAUCUCCAUCAUAAGCCCAAGCCCACUUAGUAAAAAUCACCCUCAAGCCCAUUAGCAGCCACAAGCUCCUCCUGUACAGGCUUGCAGCCUGUCAUUCUCCUCGUCGCCGCCGGCGAGGAGCCUCGGCUCAACGUCACAGGUGGGGACCGGCCCCGCCUUCCCCUAAGGGUCGCGGUCCAUUCUCAUGAUGCAUGCAAGGGACGACGUCGCAUCUCCGCUGCUGCCAACGCCACUGCCACCAAGGACGACGUCGCUGACGUGAUCCCACUCGGACUCGAACUGCUCCAUUUGCGGCGUCCUCAGGCACCAGCAGAAGUUUGGAGCUUCGUGAGGUGCUCCGCCGCUUCUUGGAGACGCCCAGCUAGGCGCGGACGGCGAGUUCCCUGCUGCGGAGGGUCACGGGCUGAGGCAUCGGGCACACGAGAAGAAUGAAGAGGGGUUUUGGGCUGGAAUAUUCAAGAAACUGUGAGGUAUUUACGGAAGAAAUUGAAGACGGUGGUUUUGGAAGGGAAAGUCAUUAAUGGGUUUGCAUUGCAGUGGGAGAGAAGG